CAAACUGUAAUGUAGGCCUGACAAAACCUCAGCCAACUCUCUGAGGAGCCCUGAAGCAAAUAGUGACUGUCAGUGUGUGGCCUUGAGCCAAAAAUGCUGGGUCUCUGUUCUCUUUCCUUUUCAGUGGCCAGAGGCCAACUUUUGUAGGAGGGGCAUGACCCUGAGAAAGGUGGCUCAACUGGAGCUCUGCAGCUCAAAUGGAUCUUGAGAGAUUUGACAGCUGGAGCUCUUUGCUGACCAUACUCCUUGCAUCUGGACGGCAAGUUCUUUCUUGAAGAGAAAGACUUGGAAAGUACCUCUGUAUCUGCCACAUAUUUUAAAAUUUAUACGACUAACUUUUUUUUUCUAUUCAUUCUUUUCUCUAAAGAAUGUCCACUCUGUGUACAAAGCUGAACCUAUCUUGACAGAAAUCAAAAGCCUAUGUUUGUAAGAAAAGGGAAAUUAGUGGGAUUAGUGUUGUUGGCCUAGACUCUGAUUGUCCUUGGAGAAUAGGAGAGUUUGGAUUGAUUAGCUGAUACAGUAGUUUUCUGUUGCUGUCUUAAUAAAUCACCACACACUUUCAUAGAUUAAAACAGCACAUAAAAUUGCUUUUUUAAAAUAUUUUUAAUUUGUUAUAAUUAGUUACACAUGACAGUACAAUUACCUUGACAUAUCAUUCAUUUGAAUCACAUGGGAUACAGUAUCUCAUUUUUCUGAGUAUACAGGUUGCAGAAUCACAUUGGUCACGCAUUCACAUAUAUAUACACACACUAAUAAUAAUGUCUGUUUCAUUCUACUAUCCUUCCUAUCUCCCCUAUCACUCCCCUCCCCUCCUAUCACUUCUCUCUAUCUAAUCUAAGGUUGCACUAUUUUUUUUCUCACAUCUUCAUACGUGUACUUUGUAUAACAAUGAGGGUCUCCUUCCACCAUCCAUGCAAUUCCCUUUCCCCCUCCCUUUCCUUCCCACUCCUCUUCCCUAUUGUUAUUUUACAAUUCUGUGGCUCAGUCAGGCACCUCUGCUUUGGGUCUCAUAAAGCCUGGAAUCAGGUGGUCUCCGUGAUGUUAGGCUUGGUUGGUCUCCUAGUUGGUCAGUGUGGGGAUAAAUCUGCUCCUAAACUCAUUUGGGUUGUUGGAAGAAUUUGGUUCCUGUGAUCAUAGGUCUUAGGCCUUUUUCCUUGCUAGCUGUCUACUGUGUAUUGGUCAGUCCCCUCAGGCUCACCAAUAUUUUUCUUGUCACCUUGCCUUCUAUUUCCAAACCAGUAAUGGUAAGUCAAGUCCUUCCCAUGUUUUGAAUUUCUUAGACUUUCCCUUCUCCUGUAUUUCUUCUGCUUCAGGUAGGGAACAUUCUUGGUUUUUAUGAGCUCAUGUGACUAGAUUGGGCCUACCAAAAUAUUUUUGGAUAAUCUCCGUAUUUUAAGAUCUGUAGCCUUAAUUAUGUAUGUAAAGUCUCUUUUGUCACAUGGUAGAACAUGUCACGGAUAUCUCGCAUGGACAUCUUUGGGAAUUAUUAUGCUGCCUACCACUGCUGGGGAGCAGAAGCCUCAGGAAAAGUUUCUGACAAGAUGCAGUGACUUUUUAAAAUUAAUUAAUUUAUUUAUAUGCUUAUGUUUAAUUUUUAACUUUUUUUUUCUUGCAGUAUUGAAGAUUGCACUCAGGGUGUUGUGCAUGCUAGGCAAGCACUCUUCCACUGACCUACACCCUCAGUCCUUCAAGUGGCAUUUUUAAAUUUAUAUAUGAUAGCAGAAUCAUUACAAUUGUUAUUACACUUAUAGAGCAUAAUUUUUCAUAUCUCUGUACACAAAGUAUAUUCAUAACAAUUUGUGUUUUCAUACAUGUACUUUGGAAAAUAAUGUCCAUCACAUUCCACUUAAUUUCUAACCCCAUACCCCCUCCCUUUCCUUCCCAUCCCCCUCUGCUGUAUCUAGAGUUUGUCUUUCCCCUCCCUACCCCACUAUGAACCAACCUCCUCAUAUCAGAGAAAACAUUCGCCAUUUGUGUUUUUGGGAUUGGCUAACUUCACUUACCAUUAUUUUCUCUAACUCCAUCCAUUUACCUGCAAAUGCCAUGAUUUUAUUCUCUUUUAUUGCUGAUUAAUAUUCCAUUGUGUACAUAUGCCACAUAUAGAAUAUUUCAUCCUUCAAUGAGAGAAUACACUUUCUUCUCAGCAGCACAUAGAUCCUUCUCUAAAAUAGACUAUAUAUUAUGCCACAAAGCAACUCUUAGCAAAUAUAAAAAAAUAGAGAUACUACCCUGCAUUCUAUCAGAUCAUAAUGGUAUGAAAUUAGAACUCAAUGAUAAAAUAAGAAAUAGAAGCUACUCCAACACCUGGAGACUAAAUAAUAUGCUACUGAAUGAACAAUGGAUUGUAGAAGACAUCAAGGAGGAGAUUAAAAAAUUUUUAGAGGUGAAUGAGAACACAAAUACAACAUAUCAAAAUCUUUGGGACACUAUGAAAGCAAUUCUAAGAGGAAAGUUCAUUGCGCAUGGAGUUCAUGCCUUAAAAGAAGAAAAGUUAACAUCAAAUGGCAUUUUAUAUGGCAGAUUUCUCAGCAGUCAGAGAGAUUGGGCUAAAAUGCAGGAGUCCUCCUAAUCUAACUGAAACUGAAACCAUGAGUGUCUGGAUGAGGGCAAUGACAGUAAACGUUAGAAGUACAUGAGCUCUCCAGAGAAAGUACUGAGGAAUAGCUGCCAAAUUUGCUGGAGGGUAUGUGGGGGAUGGGUGAGGUUUUGUGUUUAAAAGGUGUUCUUGCUGGAUGUAAGGCUGUAUUAUUCAAACAUCAAAAUUUUACCUCAAUUUACCGUUCAGGCACAGAGACAGGAUUACAUGGAGCAAGACCCUACAUAAAGACAUUUGUUUUCAUUCUUGACACUAAAAACAUUCAUUCCAAAAACACAGAGAGUAAUAGAGUACAGAUGAUUGAAAAUAAGAUUCAAAGCCCUAAAUUAUGUAAGUUUGACUAGAGAAUACAACCUAUAAUUCUAGGUGACACACAUAUUCUAUAGCGUGUUUUACUUAGGCUGAUAUUAAAAUAAGUUUGUAUUCUCUCAGUAUGAGCCACUUAGUGGCUUGGGAAUUUUCUCUGGAAGCAAAUUAAAGGAAAGUAAGAUUAAACAACAAUUUUUGCAAGAGAAUAGCAUACAUGCAAAUAAUUAAGAAAUGCUAUAUGAGAUGAGUCAUCUGAGGGCUUAAGGUGAAUCUGUCUUGUUAUUAUCUCAGUUGUCACCUGCUUUCACCAACAAAUUCCUGGCUGAACUGGAGAAAACACACAGAACAAGUGAUGUCCCAAAACAAAAAGGUCAUAUUUCUUUGUUUCCAUUGCUAAAUUCCCCAGAGUAUCUGGAAUGAGCUAGUUUUUAGCUGCUUGCUUGAUCCUCAAUUCUUCUUAUAACACCUGAAGGCAUUGACCUUUAGGUCAUUCAAGUUCAUGUUGUAGAAGGAUAGGGAGAACUAUUUUGAAGUGAGGAUCAGAUGGCAAAAGAGCAGGAAACCUUUGGGGGAAAGCAGACCAACUAGACUGUCUAACUAUAUAGAAAUGGAACACUUUUCAAUAGUUGGUGAGUUUGUUCUAUUCACUGUGCUGCUUUUUUCCCCUUCCUCAUCUGAAAAUGUUAAUUUUGAUCCUUUUGAUUGCUAAAGUCAGCAUAACUUUCCAUUGGGUUGUACAGGACAGAUUUUACAGUUCCUAAAGUGAUACCAUUACAGCAGACUUAUUUGCAUUUACAGACAAAAUAGCUUGUUUUGUGGCUGAGAGCAUAAUGGUUUGGGCAAGUGGGAGGAAAGAGAAGAAACCAACUGGGUGUGACAGGUGAGAAGUCUUAGAAACAACAGCAUAAAGAAGUAUUGGUUAGCAAAAGCUGGGUGAAUGCAGGGAGCUGAACCUGAGGCCCAGAUGUUAUGUGGAGACCCCCCCCCCCCAUAAUCUUCUAAUACACUUUUGUUGUCCUUGCUCUGACAUGUGAGCCUUUCCUGGGAACUUUCAUUAACAUCCCCAGGUGGAACACUGGGAUCCAUGAAGAGCAUUUUAAAAACCAAAGCAAAUAGAAAUCUAAGUGUAUAUUAUCUGAAAACAAUUCCUAGAACAAUCAGUGAUAGAUAAGGGUGAAGGAUGAAAGGUAAGAACGUCAUCAAAACAUCUCCCCUUUUCUGUUACCUAUUGAACAGCAAUGGAGUAAAAGGCUUUAGAAGAAUAUAAGCCUUAUUUGCAUAUUUUCUGGAAAUGUGUCAAGAAGAGAAAGUAUAUCUCCAUAUGUAAAACUUCACUCAGGAUAGGACACCUGAGUGAAGGAAAUCUUAUUAAGGGAGCUGACCUGCCUAUUGACAUUUAUUUAACUCUUUUAGAAUAAAAUACACAUUGGCAAGAGCUUUUAGAAAAAAAAAUGUAUCUGAUUCCCAUUCCAAGGAAAAGCAAUGGAUUCAAAGCCAAGGAGUAUUCUUGGAUUGAACUUUCAUAGUGCCUUAAUUUAGCCAGCUGGAGAAAUGCUCUUGCAAGUAUAAAAUUAUUUAAGUCUAAGCAAAAGAAAGCUUUUCAUUAUGGUUUUAAAUCUGGAAUUUACUGUAAAGUUGUCUAUUAAUUUGUUAAGGUAAAUUCCAUUUUUUAGUGAUGGUGAAAAUAUUUAUGAAGGUGUUUAUUGUGUAUUAGGAUAGUGAACUUUGCCCUACAUACUUAUCAAAGAGUUUUACUUCUUUAACAAGUAAUGAAAUAUUUUUGACAAAAGUAUGAUUUACAGUGCCUCAGAUCUAUAUAAGUCAUCAGGAACAUAAUUUCGAAACUUAAUAUUGAAUAAAAAAACAAGUAGCAGAAGGACAUGUACAGUGUGUUAUUUUUGGAUACAUAUGUAAGUAUGAAAAUUUUGGAAAAAAAUUAUGUAUAUUAUAAUACUGUUUGCCUAGUAUGGGGGAGUUGCCUGUGUGGGCAGAGAAUAAAGAGAAUUGAGAAAUGAGGUUGGUGCAUAAAAGAAAACUCUGGUCUUUCCUUUUCCCUUCCACUUCACUCUCCCUCCCUCUCUUCCUUCCUUAAAAAGUACAACUAAAAAUUGCUUGGGAAGUUUUAUUUAAAAUUACAUAUUUCAGGGGAAAAGAUCACCAGAUGAACUACAUGUAUGCAUAUGUGCAAGAAUGUACAUAUCUCAAUGUUCACUGUACUAAAAUAUUAUUAUGACAACUACUGAUCAGUUUCUCUACCAGGUAUCCCUUAGAAGAAAAAAGGCAAAGAAAAGAAUGAGAAAACAAAUCUAAUCCAUAUUUCAGUGAUCAGAGAAAGAAUAAGGAUAUGGAAACACUUGGAACAGAGAAAUAAGGUGAGAGAAAAUAAAACAGGACAAAUGGUAUAGAAGACUAAAUGGAGAGAAUAUAAGCAAAGAAAGUAAUGUGGGAUGAUUAAAAACAUUCGUAUGUACUCUUUCAAAGAAAGUCAAUUACAUUAUAAAGUGAGCCAAGCUAGUUGGUCGGUGUCUUGUAAAACAAGUUGAAACUUAUGACUUUCAAAAUUUUUAAUUUUAACCAAAAAAAGUCAUAAAAAUCUAUUAGGCUACAUUGUGGAGAAAAUGGAUCUGUAACAUUGGGUUGACCUGAAGCAUGUGUUAUAAAUUUGACUAAAACAUUCUUAUGUGUGUCUGUGUUUUCUGUUAAAUCAAUGGCCAAAGACGACACUAGCUCUAAGAGAGUGUGGGAACAUGACCUGCCAACAGAGGCUUUGAUCUAUGAACAUAGACAUCAGCAGUACAGGACAGAUCCUUUCUGGUUAAAAAGCAGCUUUUGUCUGGAAAGUUCCCCUCUAGCAAUACAUAGACCAAAGCAAAAAUAUUAAUAGGACUGGCGAGGACAUGAGAUCCAGCCUCUGUAACUGAUUGUGGGUUUAUUGUCUCACACUGUUCUAAGUCUUAGAAAUGACACCAUGUAAGUAAGGCCACAUAAGCCCUAUAAGUGGAAAGGGACAAGUAUAUAUUGGCUCUCCUUAUAUUCUUUGAUUUUGCAUUUCUAUGCUUUUCUUGUCUUUACCAGGUGUUUUAGUCAGCUUUGCAUUCCUGUGACCAAAAGACCUAACAAGAACAACAUAGAGGAGGAGAAAGUUAUCUGGGGACCAUGGCUUCAGCAGUCUCAGUCCAUGGAUGGCCGAUUCCAUUGCUCUGGGACCAAAAUGAGUCAUAACAUCAUGGCAGAAGAGUGGAGAAGAAAAAAGCAGUUCAGGACAUGACAAUCAGAAAGGAGAGAGAGAGAGAGAGAGAGAGAGAGAGAGAGAGAGAGAGAGAGAGAGAGAGAGAGAGAGAAUGCUUGCGUGCAUGCCCGUGAGCGCUCUGCUCACCAGGGACAAAAUAUACACCCCAAGGGCAAGGCUCCAGUGACCUGCCUCAUUGUCCAGCCACACCCUACCUGCCUACUUACCACCCAGUUAAUCAAUAUCAGUGGAUUAAUCCAUUGAUUAGGUUAAGGCUCUCAACCCAAUCAUUUCACCUUUGAACUUUCUUGCAUUGUCUCACUACAUAUUCAAUCCAUAACACCAGGGCUGUUCCCAUCCAAUCUCAGUGUUUCACAUGAAAAUAGGUUAGUGUUUGUAAAUUAUCUUUGAGGCCUCUCUUUAUCUAAUUUCCUUUUCCCUUAACUGCCCAUUUACUUACAGUGAAUAAUAAAUUUAUGUUGGAUGCAUAAUUGUGGACAUUAGGAGUGAGAAAAGAUAUACUCUAAAGAAAGGGAAGAAACUAACAUGUUUUAGUAAGGAAAAUAUUUUGGGUGUUUCAAUGCCUCCUGCAGAAGGCAUCAACUUCAAGUGCCUGCUGCCUGGUGACUUUGAGUUCCUCCUUUGCUGUAAAAGCAGAGCAGAUAUUCUGCUGAACAGAGCAGAAACAGAGCACCUCAUGGAGAGUAGUAACCAAUGUGAAUAAAUCAUUGUUUCAGAAUCUGACCUGAAUUUCUCUUUUCAGCAGAAGGUUGUGUUCCUCUAACAGAAAGGUUUCAGAAUACAAAAGUAUAUAUGAUUUCCUGAAAACAGAGGCUUGAUAUUAUAGGCACUUCUAAUAAUAAAUAUGAAUUCUUUGGCAAAAACAAGUAUGAGGUUUUAUUGAUAAGUUGAUUGUUGUACAGGAACUCUGGGCCAUAUUGACUUUAAUAAAACAUUAAGUGGUUUAAUUAAAUCAUUAAUUCCACCCUCAGUGCCAUUUUUC
Molecule: long non-coding RNA, 7137 nt
Filed under: Marmota monax (woodchuck)
Lineage: Eukaryota; Metazoa; Chordata; Mammalia; Rodentia; Sciuridae
Source: RNAcentral